UUACGGCAGCUACACAUGCAGUCGAACGGCAGCACAGGAGAGCUUGCUCUCUGGGUGGCGAGUGGCGGACGGGUGAGGAAUACAUCGGAAUCUACUUUUUCGUGGGGGAUAACGUGGGAAACUUACGCUAAUACCGCAUACGACCUACGGGUGAAAGCGGGGAUCUUCGGACCUUGCGCGAUUGAAUGAGCCGAUGUCGGAUUAGCUAGUUGCGGGGUAAGGGCCCACCAAGGCGCCGAUCCGUAGCUAGUCUGAGAGGGUGAUCACCCAUUCUGGGACUGAGACACGAUCAUUACUCCUAGGGGCGGCUGCAGUGGGGAAUAUUGGGCAAUGGGGGCAGCCUGAUCCAACUAGACCCCGCCGGUGAAGAGGGCCUUAGGGUUGUAAAUCCCUUUUAUUGGUUAAGAAAUCCCUGUUUAAUAACCGGUUGGAAUGACGGCAUUUAAAGAAUAAUGCGCAUUUAUCGC
RNAcentral lists this ribosomal RNA (467 nucleotides) under Stenotrophomonas sp. RNAcentral's name for it is "bacterial SSU rRNA". It matches the Rfam family "Bacterial small subunit ribosomal RNA", at positions 37 to 503 of the family's 1533-position model. The record is from RNAcentral. Lineage: Bacteria; Pseudomonadati; Pseudomonadota; Gammaproteobacteria; Lysobacterales; Lysobacteraceae.